This 253-nucleotide ribosomal RNA is filed under the name uncultured bacterium. RNAcentral describes it as "partial 16S ribosomal RNA". It matches the Rfam family "Bacterial small subunit ribosomal RNA", at positions 524 to 776 of the family's 1533-position model. The record is from RNAcentral.
UACGGAGGGGGCUAGCGUUGUUCGGAAUUACUGGGCGUAAAGCGCACGUAGGCGGCUUUGUAAGUUAGAGGUGAAAGCCCAGGGCUUAACCCUGGAAUUGCCUUUAAGACUGCAUCGCUAGAAUCGUGGAGAGGUGAGUGGGAUUCCGAGUGUAGAGGUGAAAUUCGUAGAUAUUCGGAAGAACACCAGUGGCGAAGGCGACUCACUGGACACGUAUUGACGCUGAGGUGCGAAAGCGUGGGGAGCAAACAGG